AUUGAACGCUGGCGGCAUGCCUUACACAUGCAAGUCGAACGGCAGCACGGGAGCAAUCCUGGUGGCGAGUGGCGAACGGGUGAGUAAUAUAUCGGAACGUGCCCAGUCGUGGGGAUAACGUAGCGAAAGCUACGCUAAUACCGCAUACGAUCUAUGGAUGAAAGCGGGGGAUCGCAAGACCUCGCGCGAUUGGAGCGGCCGAUAUCAGAUUAGGUAGUUGGUGAGGUAAAGGCUCACCAAGCCGACGAUCUGUAGCUGGUCUGAGAGGACGACCAGCCACACUGGGACUGAGACACGGCCCAGACUCCUACGGGAGGCAGCAGUGGGGGAAUUUUUGGGACAAUGGGCGCAAGCCUGAUCCAGCAAUGCCGCGUGCAGGAUGAAGGCCUCGGUUGUAACU
This 400-nucleotide ribosomal RNA is filed under the name uncultured bacterium. RNAcentral describes it as "bacterial SSU rRNA". It matches the Rfam family "Bacterial small subunit ribosomal RNA", at positions 30 to 431 of the family's 1533-position model. The record is from RNAcentral.